GAUCCUGGCUCAGGAUGAACGCUAGCUACAGGCUUAACACAUGCAAGUCGAGGGCAGCAUCAUCAAAGCUUGCUUUGAUGGAUGGCGACCGGCGCACGGGUGAGUAACACGUAUCCAACCUGCCGACAACGACUGGGAUAGCCUUUCGAAAGAAAGAUUAAUACCGGAUGGCAUAGUUUUCCCGCAUGGGAUAAUUAUUAAAAGAAUUUCGGUUGUCGAUGGGGAUGCGUUCCAUUAGG
This 239-nucleotide ribosomal RNA is filed under the name uncultured bacterium. RNAcentral describes it as "partial 16S ribosomal RNA". It matches the Rfam family "Bacterial small subunit ribosomal RNA", at positions 15 to 245 of the family's 1533-position model. The record is from RNAcentral.